GAUGAACGCUGGCGGCGUGCUUAACACAUGCAAGUCGAACGGUGAAGCAGGAGCUUGCUCUUGUGGAUCAGUGGCGAACGGGUGAGUAACACGUGAGCAACCUGCCCCUGACUCUGGGAUAAGCGCUGGAAACGGCGUCUAAUACUGGAUAUGUGAUGUGACCGCAUGGUCUGCAUCUGGAAAGAAUUUCGGUUGGGGAUGGGCUCGCGGCCUAUCAGCUUGUUGGUGAGGGAAUGGCUCACCAAGGCGUCGAAGGGUAGCCGGCCUGAGAGGUUGACCGGCCACACGGGGACUGAGAAACGGCCCAGACUCCUACGGGAGGCAGCAGUGGGGAAUAUUGCACAAUGGGCGGAAGCCUGAUGCAGCAACGCCGCGUGAGGGAUGACGGCCUUCGGGUUGUAAACCUCUUUUAGCAGGGAAGAAGCGAAAGUGACGGUACCUGCAGAAAAAGCACCGGCUAACUACGUGCCAGCAGCCGCCGUAA
RNAcentral lists this ribosomal RNA (484 nucleotides) under uncultured bacterium. RNAcentral describes it as "partial 16S ribosomal RNA". It matches the Rfam family "Bacterial small subunit ribosomal RNA", at positions 28 to 523 of the family's 1533-position model. The record is from RNAcentral.